This 497-nucleotide ribosomal RNA is filed under the name uncultured bacterium. RNAcentral describes it as "partial 16S ribosomal RNA". It matches the Rfam family "Bacterial small subunit ribosomal RNA", at positions 28 to 507 of the family's 1533-position model. The record is from RNAcentral.
GAUGAACGCUGGCGGCGUGCCUAAUACAUGCAAGUCGAGCGAACAGACGAGGAGCUUGCUCCUUCGACGUUAGCGGCGGACGGGUGAGUAACACGUAGGUAACCUACCUAUAAGACUGGGAUAACUUCGGGAAACCGGAGCUAAUACCGGAUAAUAUUUCGAACCGCAUGGUUCGAUAGUGAAAGAUGGCUUUGCUAUCACUUAUAGAUGGACCUGCGCCGUAUUAGCUAGUUGGUAAGGUAACGGCUUACCAAGGCAACGAUACGUAGCCGACCUGAAAGGGUGAUCGGCCACACUGGAACUGAGACACGGUCCAGACUCCUACGGGAGGCAGCAGUAGGGAAUCUUCCGCAAUGGGCGAAAGCCUGACGGAGCAACGCCGCGUGAGUGAUGAAGGUCUUCGGAUCGUAAAACUCUGUUAUUAGGGAAGAACAAACGUGUAAGUAACUGUGCACGUCUUGACGGUACCUAAUCAGAAAGCCACGGCUAACUACGUG